This 1218-nucleotide long non-coding RNA is filed under the name Suricata suricatta (meerkat). RNAcentral's name for it is "lncRNA (ENSSSUG00005012897.1)". The record is from RNAcentral. Lineage: Eukaryota; Metazoa; Chordata; Mammalia; Carnivora; Herpestidae.
UUGCUCUUGUUGCCAGGGCUGUUGCAGACCUCUGUGUUCCAGGAUCGAAGUGGAGUUAAAGUACAUUCUUCUUUGUCGGGUGUACUCUCUCUUCCAGGGCAUUCCUUUCGCGCUCUGUUGGCUUUACAGGAAGUGGGAGCUGCACCUCGCCUCUGUUCGGGUCGGGACACGCCUUCACUCCCGCUCCCCGCCCGAAGCCAAGCUCCAUUCCUAGACCGGGGGUUCCCCGCUGUGUGAGGGCCGGGCUUCGGGGUUUGGACCCAGAGGGGUGACGCGCGUUCGUGAGUUGCAGCGGAAAGCGAGGACAGUGGGUGGAAAAGGCAAAGGACGCAUUUGACAAAUCUGAUUUAUGUCCUCAGACCAAGUCCCCGCAACAGGAAAAGAACCCCCAAUGCUUCUCCGCCCUGCCAGUCGGGGCGGACCAAACAGGUACCACGGAACGCCGGGGACGAGCGCGCCGGAACCAGGCUUCGGUUAAGACAAAUCAGCUGCAAUUGGGUCAUUCCUGUCCAGUCACAAGGCACAUUGUCCGCCUCCUUUGUUGCGGACUGCUUCAUGUGACUGAGCUCUUGAUAUCGGAUGGCAGCAGAAGCCUGAUGCGCCCUUCUGCACUACGCUUUCAAGGAACUAGUCAUUGUAUGCAUUUCCCACAAGCACAGUGACCUUGGAAGCCACACGUUUAAGAUGGCAGAAACUCUGUCCUACCAAGUCCCUGAAUGACUUGGAGUUCAUGGGGCAGAACCCUUCUAAGCUGGAACACCCCUCUGGACCAUUUCGUUAGAAAUUAAAGCUUCUAUUGUGUUUGAAGGAUUAUAUUUUAAGGUCUAUGUUUUAAAAUGAGUAAGUCUACUUUAAUUAGUUAUGAUCUUAAAAAAUUAGAUACUUUAUUUUUCCCCUGGAAGUAGCCUUGAUGUUAUUUAUUUGCUAAUUUAUAAAGCUUUUGUUCUUCUGAAAUAAACCUUUUUUUGGAUAUACUUGGUUUUAAAUCCUGGCUCCACCACUUAGGAGCUAUGUAAUCAGGAUAAUUACCUCUGAGCUUCAGUUCUUUUCUGAGCUUUACAGUUCCAUCUGUAAAAUGGGAUGAUACCUUCUUCAUAGCCUGUUAUGAGACUUAGUGAGAUAAUGCUUAUAAAACACUGCCUGGAACAUAGGAAGACUUCAAUAAACAGUAGCAGUUUUUAUUGUAAUAAGAAUAAUUUUUAUUUAAAGUUUAUUUAU